CGCCGGAUCUGGAGGUAGACCA
Molecule: microRNA, 22 nt
Filed under: Cordylochernes scorpioides
Lineage: Eukaryota; Metazoa; Arthropoda; Arachnida; Pseudoscorpiones; Chernetidae
Source: RNAcentral